This is a long non-coding RNA of Myotis brandtii (Brandt's bat), 353 nucleotides long. RefSeq lists it as uncharacterized. The transcript is spliced from 3 exons. NCBI's taxonomy places the organism in Eukaryota, Metazoa, Chordata, Mammalia, Chiroptera, Vespertilionidae. The record is from RefSeq and is a predicted model, not a curated record.
UGAGCCAAACUGGCUAGGGCUAAAUAUGUGAAUUUUUGUGACAAUAGGGUCCAACUGUACUUAUUAUUUGGGAGACUAUUUCCCCCCACUUAACAGGAUAUUGUAAACGUAUUUCCAUGUCAUUCUGUGUCAUUUGUGGUGCCGCCUAGGAUUGGAUUCUGUGGAUGUUCUGGGAUUUCUUUAACUGGCGUCCGUUAUUGAACAUAAAAGCAAUGGAAAAAAUAUUCUCAGGUCCCGAAGCCCCAGUGUCUGAGGGACAGUGGUCUCCCUCUGCACCCAGCAGCCUGAUGACCUGAACAUCACCUGCUCCCUUAACCUGAGGCCCCCAAGGUUCUGCGCAUAGAGGACAGACA